This 508-nucleotide long non-coding RNA is filed under the name Helianthus annuus (common sunflower). Lineage: Eukaryota; Viridiplantae; Streptophyta; Magnoliopsida; Asterales; Asteraceae. The record is from RNAcentral.
UGAGUCGUUUAUUUUGUACCAUGAGUCUAAUUUAGUAGUUUUGAGUCGUUUUUUUAGAGUCGGUACUGCUUUGGUUUUGCUUUUUUUGUUUGUGCAGGUUUGAAUAUGUACCACCCGUACUCAAUCUCCAUUCGGGUGAUUUCGGAGCUGUACACCAAUUUCAAGGAAUUUACCAAGUGUACUAGUUAGAGUCAAAGCCGAUCGCGAAUGGAAUGCUAUACGAUCGAGCUGGAUCGUGUACGAGUUCGGAUUGAAGACGCGCGCAGCAGGCACUGAUUUUUAUCCUAACCAGCUAAGUCCUUUCCAAUUCGUUAUCUUUUGUAUAUUAUUUUAGGUUUUAUUUUUUUAUUUAUUUUUAAUUGUCUUUCAUCCUACAUUGGGGACAAUGUAAAUUUUAAGUGUGGGGAUGGGAGACUACGUCUUUUUAGGUGAUCUUGUUAGUCUGGUCUGGAACUAUUUAGAUCAUUCUAGGUUCGUUAAUCUAUUAGGUUUUCGGUCUAGAGCUUGA